CCGGAUUUACUGGGUGUAAAGGGCGUGUAGGCGGAGAUGCAAGUUGGGAGUGAAAUCCCGGGGCUCAACCGCGGAAUUGCUUUCAAAACUGCAUCCCUUGAGUAUCGUAAAAGGCAAGCGGAAUUCCUAGUGUAGCGGUGAAAUGCGUAGAUAUUAGGAGGAACACCAGUGGCGAAAGCGGCUUGCUGGACGACAACUGACGCUAAGGCGCGAAAGCGUGGGGAGCAAACAGGAUUAGAUACCCUGGUAGUCCACGCUGUAAACGAUGAAUACUAGGUGUGGGAGGACUGACCCCUUCCGUGCCGCAGUUAACACAAUAAGUAUUCCACCUGGGGAGUACGACCGCAAGGUUGAAACUCAAAGGAAUUGACGGGGGCCCGCACAAGCAGUGGAUUAUGUGGUUUAAUUCGACGCAACGCGAAGAACCUUACCAGGACUUGACAUCCAACUAACGAAGUAGAGAUACAUUAAGUGCCCUUCGGGGAAAGUUGAGACGGGUGGUGCAUGGUUGUCGUCAGCUCGUGUCGUGAGAUGUUGGGUUCAGUCCCGCAACGAGCGCAUCACCUAUUGUUACUUGCUACGAAGAGAGCACUCUAGCGAGACUGCCGUAGACAAAACGGAGGAAGGCGGGGACGACCUCAAAUCAUCAUGCUACUUAUGUCGUGGGCUACACACGUCAUACAAUGUCUGUUAACAGAGGGUAUCCAAGCGGUGACACGGAGCAGAUCUCUAACAGCACUCUCAGUUCGGAUUGCAGGCUGAAACUCGCCUGCAUGAAGUUGUGAUUUGCUAGCAAUCACGAAUCAGA
RNAcentral lists this ribosomal RNA (808 nucleotides) under uncultured bacterium. RNAcentral's name for it is "bacterial SSU rRNA". It matches the Rfam family "Bacterial small subunit ribosomal RNA", at positions 545 to 1353 of the family's 1533-position model. The record is from RNAcentral.